Molecule: ribosomal RNA, 429 nt
Filed under: Chloroflexota bacterium
Lineage: Bacteria; Bacillati; Chloroflexota
Description: Chloroflexi bacterium partial 16S ribosomal RNA
Rfam family: Bacterial small subunit ribosomal RNA
Source: RNAcentral
UGGGGAAUAUUGCACAAUGGGCGCAAGCCUGAUGCAGCCAUGCCGCGUGUAUGAAGAAGGCCUUCGGGUUGUAAAGUACUUUCAGCGGGGAGGAAGGGAGUAAAGUUAAUACCUUUGCUCAUUGACGUUACCCGCAGAAGAAGCACCGGCUAACUCCGUGCCAGCAGCCGCGGUAAUACUGAGGGUGCAAGCGUUAAUCGGAAUUACUGGGCGUAAAGCGCACGCAGGCGGUUUGUCAAGUCGGAUGUGAAAUCCCCGGGCUCAACCUGGGAACUGCAUUCGAAACUGGCAGGCUAGAGUCUUGUAGAGGGGGGUAGAAUUCCAGGUGUAGCGGUGAAAUGCGUAGAGAUCUGGAGGAAUACCGGUGGCGAAGGCGGCCCCCUGGACAAAGACUGACGCUCAGGUGCGAAAGCGUGGGGAGCAAACAGG